AAAGACUUCAGGGGACAGUCGGUGUCUAGCAGUUUCCUACUGGCCCCUUAAGUCCCGGU
Molecule: microRNA precursor, 59 nt
Filed under: Branchiostoma floridae (Florida lancelet)
Lineage: Eukaryota; Metazoa; Chordata; Leptocardii; Amphioxiformes; Branchiostomatidae
Description: Bfl-Mir-193-P1e_pre stem-loop
Source: RNAcentral